Molecule: ribosomal RNA, 406 nt
Filed under: uncultured bacterium
Lineage: Bacteria
Description: partial 16S ribosomal RNA
Rfam family: Bacterial small subunit ribosomal RNA
Source: RNAcentral
AUUGAACGCUGGCGGCAGGCCUAACACAUGCAAGUCGAACGAGUGGCGGACGGGUGGGUAAUGUCUGGGAAACUGCCUGAUGGAGGGGGAUAACUACUGGAAACGGUAGCUAAUACCGCAUACCAUCGGAUGUGCCCAGAUGGGAUUAGCUUGUUGGUGGGGUAACGGCUAACCAAGGCGACGAUCCCUAGCUGGUCUGAGAGGAUGAACAGCCACACUGGACCUGAGACACGGUCCAGACUCCUACGGGAGGCAGCAUUGGGGAAUAUUGCACAAUGGGCGCAAGCCUGAUGCAGCCAUGCCGCGUGUAUGAAGAAGGCCUUCGGGUUGUAAAGUACUUUCAGCGGGGAGGCGUUACCCGCAGAAGAAGCACCGGCUAACUACGUGCCAGCCGCCGCGGUAAUUC